RNAcentral lists this unclassified non-coding RNA (336 nucleotides) under soil metagenome. Its description in RNAcentral is "partial contains 5.8S ribosomal RNA, internal transcribed spacer 2, and large subunit ribosomal RNA". The stretch from base 1 to 120 matches the Rfam family "5.8S ribosomal RNA", at positions 35 to 154 of the family's 154-position model. The record is from RNAcentral.
GAUGAAGAACGUAGCGAAAUGCGAUAAGUAAUGUGAAUUGCAGAAUUCAGUGAAUCAUCGAAUCUUUGAACGCACAUUGCGCCCGCCAGUAUUCUGGCGGGCAUGCCUGUUCGAGCGUCAUUUCAACCAUCAAGCCCCAGGCUUGUGUUGGGGACCUGCGGCUGCCGCAGGCCCUGAAAACCAGUGGCGGGCUCGCUGUCACACCGGGCGUAGUUGAUUUUAUCUCGCUCAGGGCGUGCUGCGGGUCCCGGCCGUUAAAAGCCUUUUUUUACCCAAGGUUGACCUCGGAUCAGGUAGGAAGACCCGCUGAACUUAAGCAUAUCAAUAAGCGGAGGA